Molecule: ribosomal RNA, 621 nt
Filed under: uncultured Bacteroides sp.
Lineage: Bacteria; Pseudomonadati; Bacteroidota; Bacteroidia; Bacteroidales; Bacteroidaceae
Description: bacterial SSU rRNA
Rfam family: Bacterial small subunit ribosomal RNA
Source: RNAcentral
GGGCAGCGUGAUUUAAGCUUGCUUCAAUUGGCGGCCACCGGCGCACGGGUGAGUAACGAGUAUUCAACCUUCCGUACAAUUAGGGAUAACCUUUUGAAAGGAAGAUUAAUUCCCGAUGGUGUCAUCAGAUCGCAUGAGAUUAUCAUUAAAGGUUUAUCGGUGAUCGAUGGGGAUGCGUUCCAUUAGUUUGUAGGCGGGGUAACGGCCCACCAAGCCGACGAUGGAUAGGGGUUCUGAGAGGAAGGUCCCCCACAUUGGAACUGAGACACGGUCCAAACUCCUACGGGAGGCAGCAGUGAGGAAUAUUGGUCAAUGGACGAGAGUCUGAACCAGCCAAGUAGCGUGAAGGAUGAAGGCCCUAUGGGUUGUAAACUUCUUUUAUAAGGGAAUAAAGUGUUCCACGUGUGGGAUUUUGUAUGUACCUUAUGAAUAAGGAUCGGCUAACUCCGUGCCAGCAGCCGCGGUAAUACGGAGGAUCCGAGCGUUAUCCGGAUUUAUUGGGUUUAAAGGGAGCGUAGCCGGGUCGUUAAGUCAGUUGUGAAAGUUGCGGCUCAACCGUAACAAUUGCAGUUGAAUACUGGCUUCCUUGAGUAGCGCGUAGAGGUAGGCGGAAUUCGUGGU